RNAcentral lists this ribosomal RNA (253 nucleotides) under uncultured bacterium. RNAcentral describes it as "partial 16S ribosomal RNA". It matches the Rfam family "Bacterial small subunit ribosomal RNA", at positions 524 to 776 of the family's 1533-position model. The record is from RNAcentral.
UACGAAGGGGGCGAGCGUUGUUCGGAUUUACUGGGCGUAAAGGGCGCGCAGGCGGCCAUUCAAGUCAGGCGUGAAAGCCCCGGGCUCAACCUGGGAAUUGCAUUUGAGACUGCUCUGCUCGGGUGCGGAAGAGGGAAGCGGAAUUUCCGGUGUAGCGGUGAAAUGCGUAGAUAUCGGAAGGAACACCAGUGGCGAAAGCGGCUUCCUGGUCCGACACCGACGUUCAGGCACGAAAGCGUGGGGAGCAAACAGG